AGCGAACGCUGGCGGCAGGCCUAACACAUGCAAGUCGAACGAACCUUUCGGGGUUAGUGGCGGACGGGUGAGUAACACGUGGGAACGUGCCUUUAGGUUCGGAAUAACUCAGGGAAACUUGUGCUAAUACCGAAUGUGCCCUUCGGGGGAAAGAUUAAUCGCCUUUAGAGCGGCCCGCGUCUGAUUAGCUAGUUGGUUGAGGUAAUGGCUCACCAAGGCGACGAUCAGUAGCUGGUCUGAGAGGAUGAUCAGCCACAUUGGGACUGAGACACGGCCCAAACUCCUACGGGAGGCAGCAGUGGGGAAUCUUGCGCAAUGGGCGAAAGCCUGACGCAGCCAUGCCGCGUGAAUGAUGAAGGUCUUAGGAUUGUAAAAUUCUUUCACCGGGGACGAUAAUGACGGUACCCGGAGAAGAAGCCCCGGCUAACUUCGCG
Molecule: ribosomal RNA, 434 nt
Filed under: uncultured bacterium
Lineage: Bacteria
Description: partial 16S ribosomal RNA
Rfam family: Bacterial small subunit ribosomal RNA
Source: RNAcentral